GCACUUCGGCUCCAUAUAAACAAUACAAAUACACCACAAAAGACGUGUGGGAGACAAUUUUCAGCUCAACAAGAUUUGCAAUGGGUUUGACAAGAAAAUAAAGGUGAUAGAGCCAAGAAUGCCUAAACAGUCAGUAGAAUGUCAUCCAACAACUAGCCAAUGUAGGCCAACCACACAACACAAUCCUGUCAAUUCAGAACUGAGUGCAUUAAGAGUUCGUCGUAAAACAUCUGUAAAAUUUAAUUGAUGAACAAUAAAACACAAAUGGACAAUUGAUGGAAAACAAAAAUGGUAUCAUGGAACAGUAAUAAACAUUUUACAUGGCAGAGAUGGUAUAGAU
Long non-coding RNA from Dreissena polymorpha, 340 nucleotides. RefSeq lists it as uncharacterized. The record is from RefSeq and is a predicted model, not a curated record. NCBI's taxonomy places the organism in Eukaryota, Metazoa, Mollusca, Bivalvia, Myida, Dreissenidae. The transcript is spliced from 3 exons.